RNAcentral lists this ribosomal RNA (254 nucleotides) under uncultured bacterium. RNAcentral's name for it is "partial 16S ribosomal RNA". It matches the Rfam family "Bacterial small subunit ribosomal RNA", at positions 524 to 776 of the family's 1533-position model. The record is from RNAcentral.
UACAGAGGUCUCAAGCGUUGUUCGGAUUCAUUGGGCGUAAAGGGUGCGUAGGCGGUGAGGUAAGUCGGAUGUGAAAUCCCGGGGCUCAACCCCGGAACUGCAUUCGAUACUGCUUUACUUGAGGACUGGAGAGGAGAUUGGAAUUCACGGUGUAGCAGUGAAAUGCGUAGAUAUCGUGAGGAAGACCAGUGGCGAAGGCGGGUCUCGUGGACAGUUCCUGACGCUGAGGCACGAAGGUCAGGGGAGCAAACGGG